This 455-nucleotide long non-coding RNA is filed under the name Aedes aegypti (yellow fever mosquito). Its description in RNAcentral is "lncRNA AAEL020522". The record is from RNAcentral. Lineage: Eukaryota; Metazoa; Arthropoda; Insecta; Diptera; Culicidae.
UGAUGAUGUUUUAAUGAAUUUAAUUCAAUCAGCUACCUGAACAACAAAGGAUUGAGUUCAGAUUGAGCACUCGAGCUCGAGCUUGAUGGUUUAAUCUGAGCCCAAACGGAUUGAGAUAACUAGUCGAUUACUUACACGCUGAAGCUACAGUGACAUUUCGAACAGAUACGAUAAAGACCGAGGCGUCGCCCAGCUAUUUAGUAUUUUUCAUAAGGUGCCAAAUAAAAGCAUAAAUCACUUUCUUGUAGAUCAGUACGUUUCAUCAUUACUUGCAAUAACAAAAAACAAAGUAAUAAGAGGAAGUAGACAUAUAAAGGAAAUCCAGAGAAAACUCAUAAAUGUUCCAUAAAAACUCCCAAAGAGCAUUCAAAUUAUCACAAAUUUUAUUAAAACAACUAAACGAUAUUGAUCUUCGCUGAUUUUCAACUCCGAAGCUUUGCAAUUUGAGGCGUUUG